This 446-nucleotide ribosomal RNA is filed under the name uncultured bacterium. Its description in RNAcentral is "partial 16S ribosomal RNA". It matches the Rfam family "Bacterial small subunit ribosomal RNA", at positions 338 to 795 of the family's 1533-position model. The record is from RNAcentral.
CCUACGGGGGGCUGCAGUCGAGAAUCAUUCACAAUGGGGGAAACCCUGAUGGUGCGACGCCACGUGGGGGAAUGAAGGUCUUCGGAUUGUAAACCCCUGUCAUGUGGGAGCAAAUUAAAAAGAUAGUACCACAAGAGGAAGAGACGGCUAACUCUGUGCCAGCAGCCGCGGUAAUACAGAGGUCUCAAGCGUUGUUCGGAAUCACUGGGCGUAAAGCGUGCGUAGGCUGUUUCGUAAGUCGUGUGUGAAAGGCGCGGACUCAACCCGCGGACGGCACAUGAUACUGCGAGACUAGAGUAAUGGAGGGGGAACCGGAAUUCUCGGUGUAGCAGUGAAAUGCGUAGAUAUCGAGAGGAACACUCGUGGCGAAGGCGGGUUCCUGGACAUUAACUGACGCUGAGGCACGAAGGCCAGGGGAGCGAAAGGGAUUAGAUACCCGGGUAGUC